ACACAGACACACCCCCAUCUGUUAUCGUCGCACAAACACACCAGGCUAUACGAUCUCCCCACAUACAUCCUAGAACAUUCAAGAUAUCAACACAAAAUUCGCUUCAAGGCUGUGCCUUUCCAUAUCCGGUGAGAAGUCGUUGGGGAAACCGCACGUGAUAUGCCUUGAACAGCCUGGGCAUGGCAUCUCCAAGGGGCUCAGUCAUCACACAGGCGCACAGCCAGUCUCAUCAGUAGCAUCCUCCUCAUCGACUGAUCCACAUACGUUGACAGGGCCGUGAAAUAGCACCAACAGCCCUUGCUCGGAUAACAGUGAUAACAGUGACAUCGGAGAUAACUGGAUAACAGUGACAUCGGAGAUAACAGGAUAACAGUGACAUCGGAGAUAACAGGAUAACAGUGACAUCUGAUAUAACAGGAUAACAGUGACAUCUGAGAUAACAGGAUAACAGUGACAUCGGAGAUACCAGGAUAACAGUGACAUCUGAGAUAACAGGAUAACAGUGACAUCGGGGAGGAUAACAGGAUAACAGUGACAUCGGAGAUAACAGGAUAACAGUGACAUCGGAGAUAACAGGAUAACAGUGACAUCGGAGAUAACAGGAUAACAGUGACAUCGGAGAUAACAGGAUAACAGUGACAUCGGGGAGGAUAACAGGAUAACAGUGACAUCGGAGAUAACAGGAUAACAGUGACAUCGGAGAUAACAGGAUAACAGUGACAUCUGAGAUAACAGGAUAACAGUGACAUCUGAGAUAACAGGAUAACAGUGGCAUCUGAGAUAACAGGAUAACAGUGACAUCGGACAUAACAGGAUAACAGUGACAUCGGAGAUAACAGGAUAACAGUGACAUCGGACAUAACAGGAUAACAGUGACAUCGGGGAGGAUAACAGGAUAACAGUGACAUCGGAGAUAACAGGAUAACAGUGACAUCGGGGAGGAUAACAGGAUAACAGUGACAUCGGAGAUAACAGGAUAACAGUGACAUCAGUGCUCAGUCUCCCCAGCAGGGCGUCAGAUAUAGAAUACAGAAACCAGAGGACAUGGAAUGCAACAACAGAGCCGUAUGACCUUCAGUGCAACACGAUAUUGAAAACAGUGAUUAAAGUAUGCCGUCCAAAAAGGGCAUGUUAGUGUGUGUGACCUUGACCUUCUGUUGUAGUACAUACUUCCUCUACGCCUACAUGACACGUGACAUGCUAACGAGCUGCAUUGCCAGGGGAGGUCACUCAGGGAGUUACGGUUAUGUACCACGGGGGCACCCUGACAGCAAGGAUUUAAAUAUCCGGCGAGCGAAGGCGCUAUUUUUUGAAAGGAUAUCAGAAGAAGAAAAGGAUAAGUUUAGGGAUCUAAUGAAAAUCUUUAGCGAAAAGGUGUCGAAGAAUGUUACAUAUUUCAUGUACGCGGGGGCGCUACUUGGAUCCUACUCUCACCAUGGACUGAUUCCUUGGGACGACGACAUGGACAUCAUCGUCAGCAACAACGACAGGCCGGCACUUCUGAAAUCACUGCAGUCUCUCCCUCCAGAAUACGAGCAUUACACUGGGUGGAACACCACGUGGAAGUUCUAUCAUAAAAACUCCCCCAAAGCCGCCAAAAAACCAUGGAACUGGCCCUUCGUGGACAUAUUCUUCUAUGUGGAAUAUCCCACAUAUAUUCAAGAUGCCAGAGAAGCCAAAAAGAAAUUUAACAAAAGUGUUGUAUUUCCGCUGACCACAAGGCCCUUCAUGGGUAUGAUGCUCCCAGCUCCAAGGAAGACGCGAGAUUUCUUAAAAACAACCUAUGACAUCGAUAUGUGUGUUUCAAACUCGUAUGACCACAGAAUGGAAACAGAUGUACCUUCUUAUUGUAGAGCAAGGGUCCCCUGUUAUCUUCUCCAAGACAGAUUUCCAUUUGUAGUAAGAAAGAAUUCGGAAAACAAAUCUCUUGAAACAUUGGAAGACAGAUACCAUAAUAUAUAUAAUAAGGACGUUUAUGCACAAGAAAGUGCAUGAACCAUAGUUGUUGGUGCUUUAUGAAGGCUCUGUAGUAUGCGUUCACUCACUCGUAUCUAUUAUAGUUGUGUCGGGUUUUAUGCUUCCAGACAUACCAGUCUUAUUCACACCUCAUUUCUACGGAAAAGUGCAUAUUAUGUGAACCUGCUCGCCUCAUGAGCAGGGGAUUUGUACGAGAACAUUUGUUAUUGUUGUAGUCUGUUUUUGUUGACUUUGAAGAGUUUCAGCAGAGAGCACACUCUAAUUACUGUAUUCAAAUACUUGUUCGCACAAACCGAUUCCUAUUAGUCUUAUAAACAGAAGAACGAAUAAUUUUAGGUGUCACCAUUGUUUCAGUCUGAAGGAUCCUGUAGUGUAUUGUGGGAAAUAGGUGAUGGGUUUUCAUACUUUACUGAUUUUGGGAAAACUAUUCAGCCGCGUCAGAUGUUGGCGACUAUAUGUAUACACACAACUUAUAUUUAUUCAGUAAUCUGAUUUAAGAUUAUACAUGAUUUUUUAUGUGCCAGUAUUUACAAGAGCAACGAAAUGCGAUGUCAUAACGGUGUUUUUCCUCGUUAUAUUUCGUUUAUACUUGUGCUUAUUACAGCCGUCUCGUUGUUUUCCAGUCAAUAUCAUUGUACCAGCAUGGAGACUGUGAUAUUUCUUACUGGAUCAAUCAGAUCAGUUGCCUUCUUUGCCAUGUACAAUCAGCUGUACAAAGUCCGUCUACCAUCAGAACGUGAUGUCACGUUUGUAAAAUGUGUUCCAUGGAGAGUGUCUUUCAGCAUCAUGUCUUGUUUCCCGAGUUAUUCCAUGCAUGAUGUAAGCCCUUGAUGUACCCAGACCGAGCGUCGAUACGCCGCAACACUAAGUCGUAAUAUGUAAAGGACUCGUUCACUGAGUAUGCUGUUAAUGGCGUAUUCUUCGUCAAGUCCCGUAAACAACUUGGGACUAUCGUUGUAUGUGGGAGAUAAAUCCCGAUAACAACUUAGGUGUAUCGUUGUAUGUGGGAGAUAAAUCCCGAUAACAACCUAUGUGUAUCUUUGUAUGUGGGAGAUAAAUUCCGAUAACAACUUAGGUGUAUCUUUGUAUGUGGGAGAUAAAUCCCGAUAACAACUUAGGUGUACCGUUGUAUAUGGGAGAUAAAUCCCGAUAAAAACCUAGGUGUAUCGUUGUAUGUGGGAGAUAAAUCCCGACAACAACCUAGGUGUAUCGUUGUAUGUGGGAGAUAAAUCCCAAUAACAAUCUAGGUGUAUCGUUGUAUAUGGGAGAUAAAUCCCGAUAACAACCUAGGUGUAUCGUUGUAUGUGGGAGAUAAAUCUCGAUAACAACCUAGGUGUACCGUUGUAUGUGGGAGAUAAAUCCCGAUAACAACCUAUGUGUAUCGUUGUAUGUGGGAGAUAAAUCCCGAUAACAACCAAGGUGUCUCGUAUGUGGGAGAUAAAUCAACAAAGUUGUGUCACCUACCUUGCAGUAUCAGUUCAUUACUGAGUUCAACAAAGAUGGACAUCUGCAGUGAAUACAGAGAGGAACACCAACAUUACUACUGACCUUCCCCAAGUUCUGUUCUGACUCAUCAGUAGUCAUUCUUAUGUACAAAACAUUGACUGUAUACCCAGUAUCGUCUUUACCUUGGGAGCAGUUAAAUAUUUAUGAGUUGUUAAUAAAGAAAUUGUGAGAGAAA
Molecule: long non-coding RNA, 3658 nt
Organism: Haliotis rufescens (red abalone)
Lineage: Eukaryota; Metazoa; Mollusca; Gastropoda; Lepetellida; Haliotidae
Exons: 3
Source: RefSeq, a predicted model, not a curated record